Molecule: long non-coding RNA, 500 nt
Filed under: Panax ginseng (ginseng)
Lineage: Eukaryota; Viridiplantae; Streptophyta; Magnoliopsida; Apiales; Araliaceae
Description: long non-coding RNA (PGIN_LNC004472)
Source: RNAcentral
AUAUGUCUGACAUUGACUUCAGCAGUGACCCGUAUCGCAACAAGGACGAAGACGAUAUAAUUGAGUUGGAAUUUGCUGAGACGGUUCCUGAACAAGUAGAGGGGUAAGGGUUAAAUUGUGUACAUUUUUUUAAUUAUUACAUAUAGGUUGAUUUCAUUUUUGAUUUUUGUUAUAUGUUGUUUGUUGUUACAGUGAUUGUGGGAUGUUCACAAUUUAUUUUGCUGAGCAUGUCAUUCAUCAGAAGUUUGAUCAGAUUCUUAUUCCUUUCCCCAUUGCGAAGUAUCAGAAAAAGUUAUGCACAAACCUAUUUAUGCAUGCUAGGAACAAGCAGUUGGAGGGCUAUGAUACUGAUAGAGAAUUUCCAGGAAGAUUUGUUCCAGAUUUUGAUUAGUUCGGAUUUUAUUGUUUUGUUUUUAUUAAUUUUGUUGUGUAUUUUUUUUUAAGUUUUGGUGUUAUACACAACAUUUGUGUAUGGUUUAUGAUUUUUUGAUGUUCACUGG